Molecule: long non-coding RNA, 246 nt
Organism: Rhipicephalus sanguineus (brown dog tick)
Lineage: Eukaryota; Metazoa; Arthropoda; Arachnida; Ixodida; Ixodidae
Exons: 2
Source: RefSeq, a predicted model, not a curated record
UUCCACUCCACGUCUGCGGUGAACUUUCCGAGGCGGCUGGAGUAACGGAGCAGUCUGUAGCAGUAGUGGCUGAAGGGGAUGCCCUUCUCUUGCUUCUGGUGGCAUUUGUUGGCGAGCCAAUGGAGGAAGGUGCUGCUGAACCUGUCCCUGCCGACUGCCUUGCCUUCUGCCGCGGCUGCCAGCUGCUGUUCGUCCUCGUCUGUGUGUGUGAACUUGCCGUUAACUGUGAUCUGUUCAUAGAGAAAA